GAACUGAAGAGUUUGAUCCUGGCUCAGAUUGAACGCUGGCGGCAUGCCUUACACAUGCAAGUCGAACGG
Molecule: ribosomal RNA, 69 nt
Filed under: Rubrivivax sp.
Lineage: Bacteria; Pseudomonadati; Pseudomonadota; Betaproteobacteria; Burkholderiales; Sphaerotilaceae
Also listed under: 4 other names
Description: partial 16S ribosomal RNA
Rfam family: Bacterial small subunit ribosomal RNA
Source: RNAcentral